Molecule: ribosomal RNA, 253 nt
Filed under: uncultured bacterium
Lineage: Bacteria
Description: partial 16S ribosomal RNA
Rfam family: Bacterial small subunit ribosomal RNA
Source: RNAcentral
UACGGGGGGGGCAAGCGUUGUUCGGAAUUACUGGGCGUAAAGGGCGCGUAGGCGGCCUACUAAGUCGGACGUGAAAUCCCUCGGCUCAACCGAGGAACUGCGUCCGAUACUGGCAGGCUUGAAUCCGGGAGAGGGAUGUGGAAUUCCAGGUGUAGCGGUGAAAUGCGUAGAUAUCUGGAGGAACACCGGUGGCGAAGGCGGCAUCCUGGACCGGUAUUGACGCUCAUGUGCGAAAGCGUGGGGAGCAAACAGG